GACGAACGCUGGCGGCGUGCUUAACACAUGCAAGUCGAACGGACAGGCCCUGCUUUUGUUGGGUGCUCGAGUGGCGAACGGGUGAGUAACACGUGAGUAACCUGCCCUUGACUUUGGGAUAUCUUCAGGAAACUGGGGCUCAUACCGGAUAGGAGCUCCUGCUGCAUGGUGGGGGUUGGAAAGUUUCGGCGGUUGGGGAUGGACUCGCGGCUUAUCAGCUUGUUUGUGGGGUAGUGGCUUACCAAGGCUUUGACGGGUAGCCUGCCUGAGAGGGUGACCGGCGACAUUGGGACUGAGAUACGGACCAGAAUCCUACGGGAGGCAGCAGGGGGGAAUAUUGCACAAUGGGCGGAAGCCUGAUGCAGCAACGCCGCGUGCGGGAUGACGGCCUUCGGGUUGUAAACAGAUUUCGCCUGUGACGAAGCGUGAGUGAAGGUAAUGGGUAAAGAAGAACCGGCUAACUACGUG
RNAcentral lists this ribosomal RNA (468 nucleotides) under uncultured bacterium. RNAcentral describes it as "partial 16S ribosomal RNA". It matches the Rfam family "Bacterial small subunit ribosomal RNA", at positions 28 to 507 of the family's 1533-position model. The record is from RNAcentral.